GGAAGUUGAAAAGAAUUUCAAAGUAAAGACUAUGUUUUACUCCGAAACUGGGGGGCAUGUGUUGACGCCAGAUUUCGGCACAAGUAAAAUCGGCGUCAGGAGAAGAAGAAAUGAGAAGAUACAGCAGGAUGCAGGGGUGACAGUUGGAAAUCGGCCGAGUGGCGCUACAGUUAAAGAUCGGUUGGUUGGUGCUACAGUCCAGGAUCGGCCGAUGCUACAGUCCAGGAUCGGCCGAUAAAUCUUUAGAAUUCCGCCUCACUUAACCCUUGGGGUUUGGGAUCGGACACGCUUGGUUCCCGAUCGGUUACCCUUUGCCGAUAAGGAAAUCGGCUGAUUAGGAGGUUGGAAUAGUUGGGCCGGUAUGGGCUUAGAAAGGAUUAUAAGGGAAUCAGCCCAUGAGGCGCAUAAUAAUCUACCUAGUACGAAUUGUACUUGUAAAUAUUCAUUUUCUAUUUGAAUUAGGGAUAGAGUUCUAGUCAGAUAAGGAGUCGUCUGUACGGGGCUAUAAAUAGCCACCUUUGUAGAUCUGUAAUCAUCAACAACUCAAUACAACAAACUACUAUUUCCUCGUACUUACUUUCAAGCAGGGGAC
RNAcentral lists this long non-coding RNA (592 nucleotides) under Setaria viridis. RNAcentral's name for it is "long non-coding RNA (SVIR_LNC009185)". The record is from RNAcentral. Lineage: Eukaryota; Viridiplantae; Streptophyta; Magnoliopsida; Poales; Poaceae.